Molecule: long non-coding RNA, 912 nt
Organism: Dreissena polymorpha
Lineage: Eukaryota; Metazoa; Mollusca; Bivalvia; Myida; Dreissenidae
Exons: 3
Source: RefSeq, a predicted model, not a curated record
ACUAUUAAUAUUAUUUGCUAAAACCAUUCAGCAUGUUAUAUUUAAAUAUUUACAAUUAAAUAUAAUGUGUUAAGGGUGCUGUGUAUUAUUCAAUAAAUAUUUUGGUGUUGAAAUGACUGCCUUAUCAGUAUUUCUCAAAUUAUGCAAUUUUUGGCUUAGACACAGCAUGGAAUCAGAUAAGAGAAUAGCCAGUCCCUAUCAGUCCUCCAUCUAAGCCUAACUAAGGGGUGUUGAUAUACUUUUGAUUUGUUCAGGCCCCAUCUAUUUGAGAACCACAGACAGGAAGUUAUUUUUUGAAAACAAGCAGCAUCAGCAACUGACUUUAAGCUAGAAUUAAGACUUAUUAUUCUAGUGUAAAAUGUCUUGAAAUACUUUCAGCAUGAAGUAUUGUGUGAUGAAAAAAAUGUGUAUUUACUACAAUGUGUAAAUCAACAAUAAGUUUGUUGCAAAGGAGAUUAAAAGAGGGUGGUUAAAGACAUAUAAAGUGAUAUGGUCUAGUUCAACAACUACCUGUAUUUUUGGAAUACUGAAGAACAGUUUGUUGUAACAGGUUAAACCCCAUGGUGACCGUGAAAUUUACAUUGAUCAGAAGAUCCUUUGGAAAGAAUGUGCAUCAUCGCAUUGCCUGCCAAAAAAGGGAGCAAAAGAGAGACUACCUGAUGUGUGGACUUGAAUACCAGGUUUUACCCUGCACAUUAGCUGGCCGACAUGAGGAGAACAGGAGUGGGAAAACCGCGCCCUCUCCUUGACCAAGAAAAGCUGGAUUUGUUUAGAGGACCUGAUCAAAUGAGAUCAUGCACGAGACGCAUCGCGCAAAGGCCAUGACAGUAUAAUAGUUGCAAAGAAGUUUGACCGGCUGGUGGCAGACUUGGAGAGACAGAUGAGAGCUGCACUCCGCCGCCUCAAAGAAAU